CUAUGAAUCCAACAUCAUCUAUGAUGGUCUGCAGCUGGGAACAACCAGAUCAGUGUCAGUCCCUUUGCAGCCAUUGGUUGGGAGCAUGCAUAUUACCUGGAAUGGUAUUUGAAACAUGUCACACUAGCCGUGCCUUUGCUGUGGGCUGGGAGGCGAGUUUUGGAUGACAAGCUUGUAUUUGCAAAAGUACACACCCUGUGGGAGGUGCUCUGCACAUACGUUGAGAUACUGCACAUAAAAUUGCCUCUGAAGCCCAAUGAUCUGAAAACCCGGUCCUCAGCCUUUGAUAAUUUCAGCUGUUAUCUGAAAGUCCCCCAAGUGGAUGAAAGUAUCAUCAAGCUGGAGCAAGAGUUUUUCAUUUCCCUAUUUGAGAAGAGCUGCGUGAAUGACUUUUAUAUUCAGGAUAGAGAUACAUUCUUCAAUCCAGCCACCAGAAGCUGCAUUUGCAACUUCAGCCUCCAUCAGAGGACCUCAGCUGCCCC
Camelus dromedarius (Arabian camel) is the source of this 482-nucleotide long non-coding RNA. RefSeq lists it as uncharacterized. The transcript is spliced from 3 exons. NCBI's taxonomy places the organism in Eukaryota, Metazoa, Chordata, Mammalia, Artiodactyla, Camelidae. The record is from RefSeq and is a predicted model, not a curated record.